RNAcentral lists this ribosomal RNA (2421 nucleotides) under Triticum aestivum (bread wheat). RNAcentral's name for it is "partial small subunit ribosomal RNA". The record is from RNAcentral. Lineage: Eukaryota; Viridiplantae; Streptophyta; Magnoliopsida; Poales; Poaceae.
AUGGCGAUGGCCAGCGCGAGGAGCAGCCUGGAGAUCGUGCCCCACAGCGGCGACCUCGAGGUGCCGCCGGCGGACGUGCCGCGGCAGGACUCGCUCUACCGCGACGCCACCAGGCCCGCGCACGGCGGCCACCAUGGCCAGGACAACUGGGUGAGGACGCUGCGGCUGGGCUUCCAGUGCGUGGGGAUCCUCUACGCCGACCUCGGCACAUCGCCGCUCUACGUCUUCUCCAACACCUUCAAAUACGGCGUCGGGCACAAGGACGACGUGCUGGGCGUCCUCUCCCUCAUCAUCUACAGCUUCCUGCUCUUCGCCAUGGUCAAGAUCAUCUUCAUCGCGCUCUACGCCAACGACGACGGCGAUGGUGGAACGUUCGCGCUCUACUCGCUGAUCUCGAGGUACGCGAGGGUGGCGCUGAUCCCGAACCAGCAGGCGGAGGACGACCUCGUCUCCAGCCACCGGCAUCUGUCGGCGACGAGGAGGAGGGCGCAGUGGAUGAAGAACCUGCUGGAGACGAGCAAGCCGGCCAAGCUCACGCUCUUCUUCCUCACCAUCUUCGCCACGGCGCUCGCCAUCAGCGACUGCAUGCUAACCCCUCCCAUCUCCGUACUAUCGGCAGUCAACGGCCUGAGACUGAGAGCGCCUCACCUGACAACAGAUCAGAUAGUGUGGAUCACAGUGGGUAUUCUGAUAUUGUUCUUCACGGUGCAACACCUCGGGACCGACAAGAUCGGUUACACGUUUGCGCCGCUCGUUGUCGUGUGGCUUCUCCUCAUCGCCGGUAUCGGGCUUUAUAACCUGAUCAAGUACGAUAUCGGCACCCUGAAGGCGUUCAACCCCAAGUACAUCUUCGACUAUUUCCGAAGGAACAAGAAGAAGGGAUGGGUUUCGCUCGGUGAAAUCCUCCUUUGCUUUACAGGCACGGAAGCCCUCUUUGCUGAUCUAGGAUACUUCAGCAUAAAGUCAAUUCAGCUGAGCUUUAGCUUUGGCUUACUCCCCUCCGUGUUGCUCACUUAUAUUGGGCAAGCAGCUUACCUCAGGACGCACAUGGACGACAUGAUAAUAUCCAACGCUUUCUUCGAAUCCAUUCCAAGCACUUUGUUCUGGCCGACGUUCGUUCUCGCGCUUCUAGCUUCAGUCAUCGGAAGCCAAGCCAUGGUCUCGUGCGCCUUCGCAACCAUGUCACAUCUGCAAACACUUAGCUGCUUCCCGAGGGUGAAGAUACUGCGCACGUCAAGGCGUUACUCGGGCCAACUCUACAUCCCUGAAGUCAACUUCUUCCUUUGCGUGGCUUCUUGUGUCGUCACCAUAAGCUUCAGGACAACCGGUUUCAUCGCCAAGGCACAUGAGAUCUGCGUGGCUCUUGUGAUGGUGAUCACGACGCUGUUGAUGACGAUCGUGAUGCUCCUGGUGUGGAAGGUGAAUAUCUGGUGGAUCGCCGCUUUCUUCGUCGUCUUCAUGUCCACGGAGACCGUCUACCUGUCGGCGGUGCUGUACAAGUUCACACAGGGCCCCUACUUCCCGCUGGCCAUGUCGGCGGUGCUCAUGGUGAUCAUGAUCGUGUGGCACUACGUGCACGUGAAGCGGUACAAGUACGAGCUCCAGCACACGGUGUCGCCCGACGAGGUGAAGCACCUCCUCGAGCGCCACGACCUCAAGCGGGUCCCGGGGCUUGGCCUUUUCUACACGGAGCUAGUGCAGGGCAUCCCGCCCAUCUUCCCCCACCUCAUCGAGAAGAUCCCCACCGUCCACUCCGUCAUCGUCUUCAUCUCCGUCAAGCACCUGCCCAUCCCGCACGUUGACGUUCAGGAGCGCUUCCUCUUCCGGCAGGUGGAGCCCAAGGAGAGCAUGGUGUUCCGGUGCGUCGCUCGGUACGGCUACCGGGACACCCUCGAGAUGGCCGGCGACUUCGUGGCCACCCUCGUCGAGUACCUCCAGUACUAUGUCCGGGACCUCAGCCUCUACUGCACGGCCGAGCCGCUCAGAACAAGCUACCCUAGCAUUCGGAUCGAUAGCUUCAGAUGGGAGAAGAAGCCCUCGGGGCGCUCAGGGCGCUCGGGGCAUGGCCAUGGCAUCCAUGCCGAGGAGAUGCUUACACCAAUCCAGUCCUUCUCUGAGCUCACGAUGCAUCAAGUUGGUAUGAGCAACCGGCUGCCGCAAUUUCAGACGGCCAAGAUGAACCUAGAGGAGAUGUUGAGAAUUGAGGAGGACCAAAAGGUGAUCCAACGGGAGGUGGAUAAUGGUGUGGUGUACAUACUUGGGGAGACCGAAGUGGUGGCCAAGCCCCACUCCAACCUCCUUAAGAAGAUUGCCGUAAACUACAUCUUCGACUUCCUACGGAAGAACUCUCGAAAAGGGGAGAAGAUGUUGUCCAUUCCACGCGGGCAACUUCUCAAGGUUGGUAUCACAUAUGAAAUAUAA